UACGAAGGGGACUAGCGUUGUUCGGAAUUACUGGGCGUAAAGCGCACGUAGGCGGCUUUGUAAGUCAGGGGUGAAAUCCCGGGGCUCAACCUCGGAACUGCCUUUGAUACUGCAAAUCUCGAGUCCGAUAGAGGUGGGUGGAAUUCCUAGUGUAGAGGUGAAAUUCGUAGAUAUUCGGAAGAACACCAGUGGCGAAGGCGGCUCACUGGCCCGGUACUGACGCUGAGGUGCGAAAGCGUGGGGAGCAAACAGG
This 253-nucleotide ribosomal RNA is filed under the name uncultured bacterium. RNAcentral's name for it is "partial 16S ribosomal RNA". It matches the Rfam family "Bacterial small subunit ribosomal RNA", at positions 524 to 776 of the family's 1533-position model. The record is from RNAcentral.